Molecule: long non-coding RNA, 1297 nt
Organism: Solea senegalensis (Senegalese sole)
Lineage: Eukaryota; Metazoa; Chordata; Actinopteri; Pleuronectiformes; Soleidae
Exons: 2
Source: RefSeq, a predicted model, not a curated record
GAACAACCGUGUCUUACCAAUAACGUUUUUCCCACUACUAGUGCCACUUUGGCCUACUAGUCUCCCUUAGACCCUACUAGUAGCGCCAAAAUGCCCACUAGUAGCACUCGUAAGGCAUUUUUGACCUUACUAGUAAUUCUAGUAACAUUAAGAAUGCCCAUUAAUAGUACUAGUAAGAACCAAAAUGUCCACUGGUAGCACUAGUAAGAUGUUUUUGACCUUACUAGUAGAACUAGUGAGGCUCAGAAUGUCUUUCACAUUUGCACCGCUACUAGUGCUACUAGUAGGCCAAAAACACCUCACUAGUAGUACUAGUGGACACUUUUGCCCAACUAGUACUAGUAGUGGGCAUUCUCAGUAGUAGUAGUACUAGUAAGGUAAAACAUACCUUACUAGUGCUACUAGUGGACAUUUUGGUACUUUUAGUGGUGCCGAAAUGCCCACUACUAGCACUAGUAAGGCAUAUUGACCUCACUAGUGCUAGUGGUGGGCAUUUCGGCACCACUAGUAGGGUCCAGGAGGCUACUAGUGUGUGACACAUGCCUGCUAGUAGGGCCUAGUAGUGUUACUAGAGCAGCACAGUAGUUUACUAGUAAGGUUUGAUUGCGCACUAGUAGGCCAAAGGAAAAAACGUUACUAGUAAGACAUGGUUGUUCUACUAGUGUGCCAAAUUGUCUGACUAGUGAGGACAAAAAGCUUACUAGUACAUGGACCUAAAAGUCCGAUAUCAAGGAUAUCGAAUAAAUACUCAAACGGCUUUCCAUAGAAAGUGCUUUCAGCGCAUCUCGUGGUACUUGAUCCAAAGAAGUAAGUCUUUGUCGACUCUGAAAUAAACUUUGAACCUCCGGCAUCCCGAAGAUUCUGAAUCAGUUGGUGAACGAGAGGAUUCUCCAAAAAGCAAAGCUGGGAUGCUGCUCCUUCUGUCUUUGUCAAGAGUUUUGAGGAAAGACGUCCAGAUGACCCGGGGAAGUGCUCAAUCCCUGAAGUUCUGUUUUCCUUCAGGUUGCUUUGCAGCAUAGGCAGAUGUUGCAAGCGCAAGACGUGUAUGUCCAGUCAUAUCUCCAAAACAUGCUGCCUACCCAAACUUUAAAUGUGUCGGGUAUCACUCUGUAAAACAUUAAAAUGUGUGUUUUUCAAAAAAAAGUCAAGCUAUUCCUUUAAUCUACAUGAGAUCAGGAUGUGCCUUUAAUAGCUCUAACCUCAAAUUCUGCUGCAAAAAUAACAAGAUGCUGUUGAACUCUACCUUUUUUCCAGCAAGUUAUAAUACAAUGACACAGAUUCAGUUUGUGGUCUGAAA